RNAcentral lists this long non-coding RNA (1904 nucleotides) under Schizosaccharomyces pombe (fission yeast). The record is from RNAcentral. Lineage: Eukaryota; Fungi; Ascomycota; Schizosaccharomycetes; Schizosaccharomycetales; Schizosaccharomycetaceae.
AAGCUUGACGAUAGGCGGAAUAAGCGCGAGAAAGAUCAUCCUGCAUCAAAUAACAGUGACCUAAAGCACUCCAAAUUUCACCCUGCUUAGGAUCACAGUCUAAAAUAGUUUGGUAAUAUUCAAUGGCAAGCGGAAAUUGCUCGCGGUUUCGUAAUAUGGUAGCAAUUUGAAGCAUAGCGGGAAUCGAAUAUGGGUUCUGGCGCAAAGCGGACUCAUAAGCAGAAAGGGCUUUAUCCUGAUCAUCAAAUAGCUCUGCAAGACGGCCAAUCUGAAUCCAAGUUUCCUCGUUAAGUGAAAUUAAAUGACGAACAGAUUCAGGAGCGUUGGGCGGCAGCACAUUGGCGCCUUGUUGAGCAGCAAGCGUAGAAGUAGCUGCGGUUUUAUUUUGAGGUACAACAGCCAUAGCAGGAGAAGAAGUCAUGGGAACAGGCUGGGCAUUUUGAACAGCGGAAUUUGCUGCAGGAAGGGUCACCGGACUGGCCAAGGUGUUUGGGGUGCCAUUUGCAGGAAGAGCCUGUGGAGGAAUGGGAGGCAAUGCAGCCUGGUUUGGAGCAGGAACGGGGGCAAUAGCAAUAGGUUGGCCAGCCAUUGGAUGAUUGACGGCAGGAAUCGAAUAGUAAGUACCAUUUUGAGAAACUAUUGUAGAGACGGGCUGCUGAAUACCAGAAUGUAACUGACGCUGCUGUUGUUGUUGCUGCAAAGGCUGCUGAGGCGGCUGCGGUUGUUGAGGCUGUUGAUGUUGUUGCUGUUGAGGCUGUUGUUGGGGUUGCGAUUGUUGUUGCUGUUGCAGGGGAACGGGAAUGUAAGGAGAAGCCUGGUUGGGAAGGGGUAGCUGUUGAAUGGGUUGGUUGGAAGAGAGUAUGGGCAUCAUUCGUUGCAACUGAGGAUGCUGCUGAGGUGCAUUCGUAGCAGCAACCAUGUUUGGAGGAAGUUGUCGGUAUUGUUGAGGUUGUAGAACCUGCUGAAUGGGAACAAUGGCUUCAGCAUAAUGAGGCUGGGAUGCAAUAGAGACAGAGGGUGGUUGUUGAAUGUUUUGCUGGGCAGGGCCUAAAGAGGGAGACUGCUGGGCAGGUUGCUGCUGUUGAGAUAGUAGAGGAUGCAAUGUGGAACGAGGAAGAUGAGAAGGGGGAAGGGAAACAGAAUUGGCAUGGAGGGGUGAAGCGUAGUAAGCAGUCUGAGGGGGCAGCGAAGCAUUUGGGUCGGACGAGAGGACUUUUGAGCCCAUGCCAUGGUUGGGCUGUGCAUUCUGGGAAGGAGAAGCAGUAGCGACUUGUGAUUGGGGCAUAUCAAAAAAGUUUUUAAGUACAAAUUAGAUAGAGAAGAACGAAAACACGGAGGAGAUCGAAAUAUGAAAAAAAAAAUAAUAAUAAUUAACAAUAAACAAUGGACAAUGAAAAAGAGAAAAGAAAAAAAAAAGAACAGAGAAAAAGAAUAGAAAUUCUUCAAGAAUGCAACAUCCGCUUAUGGAAAAGGAAAAGUUCAGAGAACGAAAUCCACGUAAACCACAAAAAUAGAAUGGAAAAAAGGAAUUGAUUAAAAAAAGAAAAAGAAAAAAUUACAGCGAAAAACGAAGGAUGUUGUCGUAUAAAAGUGGAUACUGUACAACGAUGCCAAGAGCAAUUCAGUGGAAUAAUAGGUUAUCCAGGCAAAGUGAAUUGAUCAAUGGAAAAAAAAUGGUCCUUGUUUCACCAAUACGUGUAAAGGUAGGCGAGUAUGUCAGAUAAAACAAAACUGUAUUUGUAGUAUACAGUGAUGUACUUUCCUAUACUAUAUACUUGGUCCUAAGAGUUAACAAGCCGUUACACCAAAAAACCAAAAGGCAAAUGAAAGCAGGGAACGAGACACAGUGUUGAAACAGUGUCAAGUAGAGUAAUCACUUGUGAAUGGUUAGAUUCGUGUGAUUG